AUUGAACGCUGGCGGCAGGCCUAACACGUGCAAGUCGAACGAAGUCUUCGGACUUAGUGGCGGACGGGUGAGUAACACGUGGGAACGUGCCUUUAGGUUCGGAAUAACUCAGGGAAACUUGUGCUAAUACCGAAUGUGCCCUUCGGGGGAAAGAUUUAUCGCCUUUAGAGCGGCCCGCGUCUGAUUAGCUAGUUGGUGAGGUAAAGGCUCACCAAGGCUACGAUCAGUAGCUGGUCUGAGAGGAUGACCAGCCACAUUGGGACUGAGACACGGCCCAAACUCCUACGGGAGGCAGCAGUGGGGAAUCUUGCGCAAUGGGCGAAAGCCUGACGCAGCCAUGCCGCGUGGAUGAUGAAGGUCUUAGGAUUGUAAAAUCCUUUCACCGGUGAAGAUAAUGACUGUAGCCGGAGAAGAAGCCCCGGCUAACUUCGUGCCAGCCGCCGCAGUAA
Molecule: ribosomal RNA, 449 nt
Filed under: uncultured bacterium
Lineage: Bacteria
Description: partial 16S ribosomal RNA
Rfam family: Bacterial small subunit ribosomal RNA
Source: RNAcentral